This 253-nucleotide ribosomal RNA is filed under the name uncultured bacterium. RNAcentral's name for it is "partial 16S ribosomal RNA". It matches the Rfam family "Bacterial small subunit ribosomal RNA", at positions 524 to 776 of the family's 1533-position model. The record is from RNAcentral.
UACGAAGGGAGCUAGCGUUACUCGGAAUUACUGGGCGUAAAGCGUGCGCAGGCGGUCUGUUAAGUUGGAAGUGAAAGCCCAGGGCCUAACCCUGGAACUGCUUUCAAAACUAGCAGACUUGAAUAUUGGAGGAGAUGGCGGAAUUCCUAGUGUAGAGGUGAAAUUCGUAGAUACUAGGAGGAACACCGGUGGCGAAAGCGGCCAUCUGGCCAAAUAUUGACGCUGUUGCACGAAAGCGUGGGGAGCAAACAGG